GGCUGAUGCAUAGAUAGUAAGUUAUCUGAGUUGAUUGUUCGUAAUCAGCUACAGAAGUCACUCGUUUUCCUUUUUUCCCCUUCUCACUACUGGACUUGACUAGUCUAAA
This 109-nucleotide Y RNA is filed under the name Aotus nancymaae (Ma's night monkey). RNAcentral's name for it is "Y RNA (ENSANAG00000001753.1)". It matches the Rfam family "Y RNA". Rfam says of the family: Y RNAs are components of the Ro ribonucleoprotein particle (Ro RNP), in association with Ro60 and La proteins. The Y RNAs and Ro60 and La proteins are well conserved, but the function of the Ro RNP is not known. Lineage: Eukaryota; Metazoa; Chordata; Mammalia; Primates; Aotidae. The record is from RNAcentral.